GGGAGGCAGCAGUGGGGAAUCUUGCGCAAUGGGCGAAAGCCUGACGCAGCAACGCCGCGUGUGUGAUGAAGGUCUUCGGAUCGUAAAGCACUGUCGGGAGGGACGAAUAAGGUGACGGCUAACAUCCGUCGCUGAUGACGGUACCUCCAAAGGAAGCACCGGCUAACUCUGUGCCAGCAGCCGCGGUAAUACAGAGGGUGCAAGCGUUGUUCGGAAUUAUUGGGCGUAAAGCGCGUGUAGGCGGCCAGGCAAGUUGGGUGUGAAAGCCCUCGGCUUAACCGAGGAAGUGCGCCCAAAACUACUUGGCUUGAGUACCGGAGAGGGUGGCGGAAUUCCCGGUGUAGAGGUGAAAUUCGUAGAUAUCGGGAGGAACACCAGUGGCGAAGGCGGCCACCUGGACGGAUACUGACGCUGAGACGCGAAAGCGUGGGUAGCAAACAGGAUUAGAUACCCCGGUAGC
Molecule: ribosomal RNA, 460 nt
Filed under: uncultured bacterium
Lineage: Bacteria
Description: bacterial SSU rRNA
Rfam family: Bacterial small subunit ribosomal RNA
Source: RNAcentral